UCCUGCAUUCAAACGUGGUCAUGAACUAUUCGUGUCCUGGUCACUGACGAUGCAGGGAGAGGAGCUGCUGAAAGCAUUUCCCUGUGUUUGAAGGGUCCAUUCCUGUCCUUUCCAGACCCUGGAGCUUUCCCACU
This 134-nucleotide small nucleolar RNA is filed under the name Procavia capensis (Cape rock hyrax). RNAcentral describes it as "Small nucleolar RNA SNORA71 (ENSPCAG00000019112.1)". It matches the Rfam family "Small nucleolar RNA SNORA71". From Rfam's summary of the family: The members of this family belong to the H/ACA class of snoRNAs which bind a number of proteins (including dyskerin, Gar1p and Nop10p) to form snoRNP complexes. This class of snoRNAs are thought to guide the sites of modification of uridines to pseudouridines by forming direct base pairing interactions with substrate RNAs. This family includes U71 (SNORA71), ACA39 (SNORA39) and ACA60 (SNORA60). The record is from RNAcentral. Lineage: Eukaryota; Metazoa; Chordata; Mammalia; Hyracoidea; Procaviidae.